ACAAGAAGGCUGAACAGGUUUCUGAAAAGGCCAGUAUUCACAUCUAAGGAGUUUUGGCGAUCCAGAAGGAUACCGUGGUCAACAGUAUCAAAAGCUGCUGAGAGUUCCAGGAGGACGAGGAAGGUGCACUCACCCCAUCCAAUGCUCUCCUCAUAUCAUCCACCAAGGCAACCAAGCCUCUUUCAGUCCCAUAUCCAGGCCUGAAGCCCGACUGAAAUGGAUCCAGAUAAUCUGCUUCCUCCAAUUGCGCUUGCAACUGCUUUGCCACCACAAGCUCAACCGCCCUGCCCAAGAAUGAAAUUCAGAUCACAAGAAAAUCAGAACACAGACAAAUGCAUAUAUUUCUUGAACUUGCUGUUUCAGAUGGAGUCUCAGGAAAGUGUUACAGAUGUGAUAUUAUGAUUUGUAAAACUGCAUAAGUUUCAGCUACUGAUGACAACUUCAGUGUCAAAACAUUUUUUACAACAUGGCAAUGGUACUAAGAUCAUUUACCGACUAGCUCCUUAUCUGCAAAUAACAAGAUAUUCAUCCAGUCUUGAGAAUAUUAUAAGCCUGGUUGAUAAUUAUAUUGGCUAAUCAACAUUAAUGUUUGUACAAAGUGUAAAUGGUCACAUCAAAAAUUGGGGGGGGAGAAAAUGUUGUGGGCAUGAUCCAGCCAAAAUUAAGCUUUCUUUUUUUUUGUCCCACUGAUUUUAAAAGAAAAGACAACCACAUUAGUUAAUUAAACAACAGGCUGUUACAUGCUUGCAUUAGGGGUGCUAUUUUAUUUUCUUGCAAAGCCACUUUGAGGUA
This is a long non-coding RNA of Rhineura floridana, 792 nucleotides long. RefSeq lists it as uncharacterized. The transcript is spliced from 4 exons. The record is from RefSeq and is a predicted model, not a curated record. Lineage: Eukaryota; Metazoa; Chordata; Lepidosauria; Squamata; Rhineuridae.